GGUCCGGUAGCUCAGUUGGAUAGAGCAACGGCCUUCUAAGCCGUAGGUCGUGGGUUCGAACCCCGCCCGGAUCA
RNAcentral lists this transfer RNA (74 nucleotides) under Culturomica sp. RNAcentral describes it as "tRNA-Arg". It matches the Rfam family "tRNA". From Rfam's summary of the family: Transfer RNA (tRNA) molecules are approximately 80 nucleotides in length. Their secondary structure includes four short double-helical elements and three loops (D, anti-codon, and T loops). Further hydrogen bonds mediate the characteristic L-shaped molecular structure. tRNAs have two regions of fundamental functional importance: the anti-codon, which is responsible for specific mRNA codon recognition, and the 3' end, to which the tRNAs corresponding amino acid is attached (by aminoacyl-tRNA synthetases). tRNAs cope with the degeneracy of the genetic code in two manners: having more than one tRNA (with a specific anti-codon) for a particular amino acid; and 'wobble' base-pairing, i.e. permitting non-standard base-pairing at the 3rd anti-codon position. Lineage: Bacteria; Pseudomonadati; Bacteroidota; Bacteroidia; Bacteroidales; Odoribacteraceae. The record is from RNAcentral. RNAcentral also lists the same sequence under 1 other name.